Molecule: ribosomal RNA, 508 nt
Filed under: uncultured bacterium
Lineage: Bacteria
Description: partial 16S ribosomal RNA
Rfam family: Bacterial small subunit ribosomal RNA
Source: RNAcentral
GACGAACGCUGGCGGCGUGCCUAAUACAUGCAAGUCGAACGCUUGUUUCCUCCGGUUUGCUUUCUCUCAUUUGGGAAGAGCAGGUGCGUACGGGUUAGAAACACUUCGUUAACCUAUCCAUCAGAGUGGGAUAACACUAGCAAAAAGGGGCUAAUAUUGUAUAACAGUUUAUUCCACAUUGCAUGACAGUCUAAGUCUCUCUCGUAGGUCGUUGCGGGCUGGAUCCGCGAUGCAUUAGCUAGUUGGUAAGGUAACGGCUCACCAAGGCAACGAUGCAUAGCCGACCUGAGAGGGUGAUCGGCCACACUGGAACUGAGACACGGUCCAGACUCCUACGGGAGGCAGCAGUAGGGAAUCUUCGGCAAUGGACGAAAGUCUGACGGAGCAACGCCGCGUGAGUGAAGAAGGUCUUCGGAUCGUAAAACUCUGUUGUUAGAGAAGAACAAGGACGUUAGUAACUGAACGUACCUUGACGGUAUCUAACCAGAAAGCCACGGCUAACUACGUG